This is a long non-coding RNA of Leptopilina heterotoma, 809 nucleotides long. RefSeq lists it as uncharacterized. The record is from RefSeq and is a predicted model, not a curated record. Lineage: Eukaryota; Metazoa; Arthropoda; Insecta; Hymenoptera; Figitidae. The transcript is spliced from 5 exons.
UUCAUUAAAUUGAAUUAAAGUGAAUAAUUUGUACUACAAGAGCAGUGAAAAAAACGAAAAUGUUUUCCUGAAAGACCUGCAAGUUGUUGAAAGAUAAGGUGAAUGACCUGAAAUACAAAAUUUUGUCGGGCUAUGCGCAGGAAGCACUUUGUUGUUGUUAUGAGUAUAAAUUGAUAUUUAUAAAAAAAGAAUAUGCACUUUUGAGAAAAAAAUAUAAAAACAAUAUACUAAACGAUGAAUAUUUUUCACGAAUUUUUUAAAUGUCGACAUAAUAGUUAUCAAAAGUUGGAGGAUAAAUUUCAGAUCACGAAGGCAAAGUCCUUUGUUUUGAAAUUCAAUAUAACAAUAUACGGGAAACAAAAAAAUUCUUUCGAGAAGGUGUGAUCCUGCAAACAUUCAGUUACCAGAAAAAAAACAACUUUGCAACAAAUGCGACAAUAUGUAAUAGACGGAAGAUGAAGUACAAUAGUUUCCAGGGAACAGUUAACACAACAGGAUAACAGUUAACAACCCAGAAUCAGCAAAUGCUGGUUUCAAAACUAAUUCAAUAGAGCAAAGACAAAAAACCAUUAAAAACAUUCUUUUACGAACGUGUGAUUCUACAAAAUUUUCGUUGUCAUAAUGAAGUGACAAUCUUACAAUUAAAAGCCUAUUAACGUCAAGACGGAAAAUUUUCUCCAAAAAAUAGACUGAAGUUUAAGUACAGCAGAUUCCAGAGAACAGUGAUUCCAUUGUUAACCAUCCAGAAUCCGAAAAGAUUAAGUUCUUUGACUUGAUUCAGAAAUUAAAAUACUAUCAAAAUAUCAAAG